GGCGGGAAAAUUGCGGACCCCGUAACCUGGGUCUGUGGGGGGGUCUGCCGUCCCUACAUCUGUAACGUGUAGCAAUGUACCUCGGCGGGUCGGGCUACAUUUGGCCUGCAGACUGGUACAAUGAUACCAGUCUGCUUACUCACCUUAGUUCGGGAACCACCGUUUGCGGGCUGAACGAGCCCCUGAAUGACUGCAAUGCGAGCUGCCAGGAUGAACUCAAGCACCA
Pelobates cultripes (western spadefoot toad) is the source of this 226-nucleotide non-coding RNA. Lineage: Eukaryota; Metazoa; Chordata; Amphibia; Anura; Pelobatidae. The record is from the annotation of a GenBank genome assembly.